Molecule: transfer RNA, 73 nt
Organism: Microbulbifer thermotolerans
Lineage: Bacteria; Pseudomonadati; Pseudomonadota; Gammaproteobacteria; Cellvibrionales; Microbulbiferaceae
Rfam family: tRNA
About the family: Transfer RNA (tRNA) molecules are approximately 80 nucleotides in length. Their secondary structure includes four short double-helical elements and three loops (D, anti-codon, and T loops). Further hydrogen bonds mediate the characteristic L-shaped molecular structure. tRNAs have two regions of fundamental functional importance: the anti-codon, which is responsible for specific mRNA codon recognition, and the 3' end, to which the tRNAs corresponding amino acid is attached (by aminoacyl-tRNA synthetases). tRNAs cope with the degeneracy of the genetic code in two manners: having more than one tRNA (with a specific anti-codon) for a particular amino acid; and 'wobble' base-pairing, i.e. permitting non-standard base-pairing at the 3rd anti-codon position.
Source: Rfam
GUCCCCUUCGUCUAGAGGCCUAGGACACCGCCCUUUCACGGCGGUAACAGGGGUUCGACUCCCCUAGGGGACG